GGUCAGUAGUCCAUCACUAAUGUUUGAAAUAUUUCAGAGAUUGUCGACGACAACUCUAUAGUGAGAGCCGAUUUCAUUCAGCAGCUUCUUCCAUCUGCGGAGCGAACGGCUCUCCUUUAUCGCCUGACUUUCCUGAGUCUGGGAGGAUUCCCAAAGCUGGAGCGUCUGAUCAGAAAUCAAGCUAUUGAAACACAACUGCUGUUCGGAUCCUCUGAAGCUGUUCUGCUGAAGCUGUUUGGACUCUCAUUCUGAUGGCACCCAUUCACUGCAGAGGAUCCACUGUGAAAUUUCUGUGUGGGCGGGGAUACUCAACAUAAUGCUGCAGGAACAGAAAACAAGCAACAGACAAAACGUAGCGCUACUCGGUGUUAGGACCUGGUUUAACAGAAACCUCAACAGAAAACAGUCGGCUAAAUAAUAUUUUAGCAUUAAUUGUAUUAGAGUCUGAUUAGAUGGCAACAAUGUCAACAUUUUAUUUGAUGUCAACAACAAAAGAUUCAGUAGCCAGUUUUCAGUCACAUGAUCCUUCAGAAAUCAGUCUAAUACGCUGAUUUGCUGCUCACUUCUUUUUAUUAUCAAUAUUGAAAACAAUUGUGCUACUUAAUAUUUUUGUAGAAACCAUGGAACAUAUUUUUCUAGAUUGUUUGAUGAAUAGAAAGCUCAAAUGAACAGCAUUUAUUUGAAUCCAAAGUCUUUUUUAACAUUAUAAAUGUCUUUACUGUCACUUUUGAUAAAUUUAAUGCAUCCUUCUGCUGAAUAGAAGUAUUAAUUUGUUUUAAAAAAUGUUACUGACCCCGAACUUUUUAAAUGUUAAGCCUCACAGAAAGUUAACUCGGAUAAAUCCUGACUUCUGACAAUUUAUUUCCUGUGAAAGUCCCACAUAGUUUGCACGCACGC
Molecule: long non-coding RNA, 897 nt
Organism: Pangasianodon hypophthalmus (striped catfish)
Lineage: Eukaryota; Metazoa; Chordata; Actinopteri; Siluriformes; Pangasiidae
Exons: 3
Source: RefSeq, a predicted model, not a curated record